CGCCGGAAGACCAAGGGUUCCUGUCCAACGUUAAUCGGGGCAGGGUGAGUCGACCCCUAAGGCGAGGCCGAAAGGCGUAGUCGAUGGGAAACGGGUUAAUAUUCCCGUACUUGGUGUUACUGCGAAGGGGGGACGGAGAAGGCUAUGUUGGCCGGGCGACGGUUGUCCCGGUUUAAGCGUGUAGGUGUGUGUUCCAGGUAAAUCCGGUUCACUUUAACACUGAGGCGUGAUGACGAGGCACUACGGUGCUGAAGCAACAAAUGCCCUGCUUCCAGGAAAAGCCUCUAAGCAUCAGGUAACAUCAAAUCGUACCCCAAACCGACACAGGUGGUCAGGUAGAGAAUACCAAGGCGCUUGAGAGAACUCGGGUGAAGGAACUAGGCAAAAUGGUGCCGUAACUUCGGGAGAAGGCACGCUGACAC
This 422-nucleotide ribosomal RNA is filed under the name Salmonella enterica. Its description in RNAcentral is "partial 23S ribosomal RNA". It matches the Rfam family "Bacterial large subunit ribosomal RNA", at positions 1335 to 1757 of the family's 2925-position model. RNAcentral also lists the same sequence under 1 other name. The record is from RNAcentral. Lineage: Bacteria; Pseudomonadati; Pseudomonadota; Gammaproteobacteria; Enterobacterales; Enterobacteriaceae.